This 239-nucleotide unclassified non-coding RNA is filed under the name plant metagenome. Its description in RNAcentral is "partial contains small subunit ribosomal RNA, internal transcribed spacer 1, and 5.8S ribosomal RNA". The record is from RNAcentral.
UUUCCGUAGGUGAACCUGCGGAAGGAUCAUUAUUGAAAAAGACAAGACGUCCCGUUUUUUCGUAAAAUGGGUUCAAUACCCACAACCGUGUAUACCUUACCUUUUGUUGCUUUGGCAGGCCGCCUCCAGGCGUUGGCUUCGGCUGACAGCGCCUGCCAGAGGACCCAAACUCUGUGUUUAGUGAUGUCUGAGUAAUAUAUAAUAUUUUAAAACUUUCAACAACGGAUCUCUUGGUUCUG